Molecule: ribosomal RNA, 350 nt
Filed under: uncultured Glomus
Lineage: Eukaryota; Fungi; Glomeromycota; Glomeromycetes; Glomerales; Glomeraceae
Description: partial 18S ribosomal RNA
Source: RNAcentral
CGUAAGGCGCCGAAUGAGUCAUUAAAAAUUAACAUCAUCCGAUCCCUAGUCGGCAUAGUUUAUGGUUAAGACUACGACGGUAUCUGAUCGUCUUCGAUCCCCUAACUUUCGUUCUUGAUUAAUGAAAACAUCCUUGGCAAAAUGCUUUUCGCAGUAGUUAGUCUUCAAUAAAUUCAAGAAUUUCACCUCUGACAAUUGAAUACUAAUGCCCCCAACUAUCCCCAUUAAUCAUUACGUCAAUCCUAGAAACCAACAAAAUAGGAUCAAACGUCCUAUUUCAUUAUUCCAUGCUAAUGUAUUCAGGCGUUAGCCUGCUUUAAACACUCUAAUUUUUCAAAGUAACAGUCCUG